This 408-nucleotide ribosomal RNA is filed under the name uncultured bacterium. RNAcentral's name for it is "partial 16S ribosomal RNA". It matches the Rfam family "Bacterial small subunit ribosomal RNA", at positions 28 to 526 of the family's 1533-position model. The record is from RNAcentral.
GACGAACGCUGGCGGCGUGCUUAACACAUGCAAGUCGAACGAAGUGGCGAACGGGUGAGUAACGGGUAAUCAACCUGCCCUUCAGAGGGGGACAACAGUUGGAAACGACUGCUAAUACCGCAUACUGAAGGAGGGGAUUGCGUCUGAUUAGCUAGUGGGAGGGGUAACGGCCCACCAAGGCGAUGUGCAGUAGCCGGUCUGAGGGGAGGAACGGCCAAAGUGGGACUGGGACACGGGCCAGACUCCUACGGGAGGCAGCAAGGGGGAAUCUUCCGCAAUGGACGGAAGGCUGACGGAGCAACGCCGCGGGAGUGAUGACGGCCUUCGGGUUGUAAAGCUCUGUUAAUCGGGACGCGGUACCUGAAUAGAAAGCCACGGCUAACUACGUGCCAGCAGCCGCGGUAAUAC